Molecule: ribosomal RNA, 425 nt
Filed under: uncultured bacterium
Lineage: Bacteria
Description: partial 16S ribosomal RNA
Rfam family: Bacterial small subunit ribosomal RNA
Source: RNAcentral
GUGGGGAAUAUUGGGCAAUGGGGGAAACCCUGACCCAGCAACGCCGCGUGAAGGAAGAAGGUUUUCGGAUCGUAAACUUCUAUCCUUGGUGAAGAUAAUGACGGUAGCCAAGAAGGAAGCCCCGGCUAACUACGUGCCAGCAGCCGCGGUAAUACGUAGGGGGCAAGCGUUGUCCGGAAUGAUUGGGCGUAAAGGGCGCGUAGGCGGCCUGGUAAGUCUGGAGUGAAAGUCCUGCUUUUAAGGUGGGAAUUGCUUUGGAUACUGUCGGGCUUGAGUGCAGGAGAGGUAAGCGGAAUUCCCGUUGUAGCGGUGAAAUGCGUAGAGAUCGGGAGGAACACCAGUGGCGAAGGCGGCUUACUGGACUGUAACUGACGCUGAGGCGCGAAAGUGUGGGGAGCAAACAGGAUUAGAUACCCUAGUAGUCC